This is a long non-coding RNA of Amphiprion ocellaris (clown anemonefish), 2027 nucleotides long. Lineage: Eukaryota; Metazoa; Chordata; Actinopteri; Pomacentridae. The record is from Ensembl.
CGGGGUACCCUAAUUCAGGUCACUGGAGAUAAUCUUGGUUUACAUAGUCUGUUUGACUUUGUGGAGUCGUUUGGGGCUCGAUAUUGACGUUUCUGUCUUCUUGGUGUGGUUGGACGGCUCAGUCCGCCUCCACUCGUAUCGUGUGCAUCAGAUCCGGUCUGCGCAGCUGGGAGUAGUCUGCCUAAUGCACCUUGCUUGCUGGGCGGUGCCACACCCAGUUAUAUCUGCGUACAGGCAUCCUCUUUCCUGUUCCUGGAGCCGGAGGGCUACAUUAGUAGCAUGGCUUAGCAGGGAUUUGCGUGGUGGUUUUGAGACACUGGCUGUCGAGCUUUCGCUGUCUCCUGUCAUCAGAGUCGGGCCGUAUUCUGGCUGAAGGCUGGGAGCCGGGCGUAAUAAUUCACGCGCUGCAUUGAAUUCCUGAGUGAUUGAGCUGCAUUUUUCUGCGGCUGUCUCCCCUGUUGCCUGAAAAGCUGUGGCUACAUUGACGGGCGGCUCUACUUCCUGAAGCGGGCUACUGCUGUUCUGUCUACAGUUCAUCGCGGCAAGCUCUCUGCUCAUCGGCAGCUGUUUUAUUGUUGUUGUUGUAUGAUGUUUUAAAAAAAAAAAAAAAAAAAAAAAAAAAAAGAACAACGAUCUUGGUGUGCGUAUGCCUCUUGCCCAGCACGCCUGUUAUUGAGAGUAUUAUUAUUAUUAUUAUUAUUAUUAUUAUUAGGGUUGUUGCAGUUUUUUUUGUAUUAGAAUUGUUAGUAUUAGAAUUGUUAGUGUUAGUAUAGAUCUUGGGAUUCUUGAUUAGUUAGUUUUGUUUAUUUACUUAUUUGUUGUGAUUGCAUAUUUAAAUUAUUCAGUUAUCUUUUUUUUGUUUGGGUUUGUAAAUUUUGUUUUCCUUUUUUUGGUUUAUUGGGUUGACUGGGCGAGGGAGUAAGGGGUGCAUGUUGGCGUAAUUGGCCUUGGUGGUGACCUCGUGGGCCCAGCCUAGUGUGGUGGUGUGGCAGUUUAUUUGAGAUCUAUGUAGGUGUGCCUCGUUUUUUUCGUGAUUAACAGUUUGCCUCUUUUCCUUUGACAGGAGCUGUUGGGCCAGGUGGCUGGUGGCUGACUGAUUUCCCCCGGCGGUGGUGGUCCCUUCACUCCCUGUACAAUAGUGCACUUGGGUGUUUGUCAAUGAUUUUGUUUUGUUCACGUGUGGUGUGGUGCAUUAGGACCCUUCCCUUCUCCCCUCCAGUUCGUCAUCGCUGCCUGAUUGUCAACAUUGUUUUUUCACCUGUCCUGUCAGAGGGUGUGACCAUUUACCUCAAACAUUUCAUCAUUGAUCAUCAUUGGCUCUUCAAGCAGUUAUUUCCUGCAAUCAACCUCUUACCAAAGCAUCAGUUCAUGAUUCAUUACCUUCAUUGUAUAAGGAAAAUUGGUCCGGUUCUGCACAUGUGGUGCAUGCGUUAUGAAGCUAAACAUAAUUUCUUCAAGAAACAACUGAAAUGCUUUAAAAACAUUACGCUAACAUUAGCCAAAAAGCACCAGAGUUGUAUGGCAAUGUAUCAGGAGACCAAUAGCAAGGAGAGAUUAACUUUAGGUUCAGGAAAGACACUGAUGCUUGAUGAGCUCCAAGAACGUCCAGACGUUGCUUCCAAAUUUGGAGCUGUAUUGUCAACAGCCAGUGUGUAUUCUGCCAAGUGGAUAAAACAUCAGGGUACAGAGUACCACUGUGACUUCAUUGUCUGUACUGAGGUGGCAUUUGAUAUAUGCCUGUGUUUUGUAAGAUAAAGACUAUUGUUGUGAAAAAUGAUAUUGUAUUGCUCUGUGGAAAACUGAUGGAAACCCUGUGUUUUGAUGAGCAUUACCAUGCCUUUAAGAUUAGGCUGCAUCCAGACAAAGUUGUAAAGGUGUUGGACAUAAAUGAGCUGCCUUACUUCAAACCAUUUGAUGUUCAAAUGGUGUAUGGAACAUUGGGUUCAUCAUUAUAUGUUGUCCCAUACUGCCAUUUUAUGCAGACCUAAGGUCAGCGUUUUUAUAUUUUCUACCUGAUGAUAUUUUGG